GAUCAUGGCUCAGGACGAACGCUGGCGGCGUGCCUAACACAUGCAAGUCGAACGGAAGUUAGAGCUUCGGUUUUAACCUUAGUGGCGAACGGGUGAGUAACGCGUGAGGAACCUGCCUUUCAGUGGGGGACAACAGUUGGAAACGACUGCUAAUACUGCAUGAUGCUUUUGGGAGACAUCUCCUGAAAGUCAAAGCUUUAUGUACUGAAAGAUGGCCUCGCGUCUGAUUAGCUAGUUGGUG
This 241-nucleotide ribosomal RNA is filed under the name uncultured bacterium. RNAcentral describes it as "partial 16S ribosomal RNA". It matches the Rfam family "Bacterial small subunit ribosomal RNA", at positions 15 to 254 of the family's 1533-position model. The record is from RNAcentral.